GUCUCAAAUGUAAAUAAAGGGAUACCAAGACGCGUAAAGUAGUGUAAAAUAAAUCGGGCUCUCGUUUAACAAUCGAGCUAUCAUAAACGUUCAGCGUCAUCUAUGUAGUCGACCCAUCAAAUUUGCGGCUACAAUUACCUAUUUCCACUGCCUGUAAAGUAGGCCCAUUAUUCCUUUGCUUGGCAUCUUGGAUAUCUUGGUAUUAAUUUGCUUAAAGUUCAACUAUCUGUGAUAGAACCAACGUAAAAACAAAUGUGUCGUUUCCAAGCAACAGGUACCACAUUGUCGCUUGCCAUAAGGACGCUCUGACAGGUUAUUCGUAUAAAGAUACAAGCAAAUUUCGUCUUUAUGUUCGUUUUUUUUAGCAUUAGAAAUAAGGUAAACAAUCUUGACGUGUCUUUUAAAUGAAAAACACAUUUUAAAAAUAAGUUACGGCAAAUAUGUAACAAUUAUGAAUCUAAUACGAUCAUUUAUAUUCUUCUGCUUUCAUAAGUAAUAGUUACUGAUUUUUAAAAAGCGUUUUUCAAUUAAAAGACAUGUCAAGAUCGCUUACCUUCUUUCAAGUUCUUUCUAAUGCUAAAUAAAACGAACUAUAGACCUGGAUUCGUAAUGAGGCUUUUUAAAAUCCUUAACCUUGGAAUGACAAGUUAUCAUUGAUAACUUUUAUUUAAUUAAGUUAAUUAAAAUUUUGAUUAAUUUAAUUGGUCAUUUCCCGGCAUCGGGCUAAGGGCACUUACUUGCAUGGGAAUAUAUAGUUUGGCAAAAUGGAAUUUGGAAAAUAUACCUUAUAGGAUAAUGAACUCAAAACAAAAACGGCCGUAUUAACUUUGGACGCAUAGAUUUGACGAAUCCAGCAACAUAAAAACUAGUCUGAUGUAUUCAAAAGGUACUUAAAUACAUAAUACAGUACGUAGCGGCCCCCUUUUUUUAAAAUAUAUUUCGUUAAAUUUAAAUAAUCACGAUUAUUUAGCAGUGGCGCUAGUGUGCACGUUGAUGGGCUCUUAAUCCGUACCUACUCGUAUUCUGUACGGAUUAGGGAAAAUCUAUAGUUUCGGAGAUAGCGUUGAUAUUGUAUUUUUUGAACUCCAGAUUUGUCACUAAAGUUAGAUAUUCUGACGAAACCAUGGACUAUCGUGACAUGAUUUUUAUUGGUACUUCGUAUGCUCUAAUAAAGGACAUAUUAGUUCCACAUGAAAUAGGCACUUUACAUGAACGAUAACAACGACAUUAUUAAGAAGAUUUAUUUACGUUUAAGGCGAAGUAGAUUCAGACUACUACUAGAAAACUACUAAAAUUUAGAUUUACGUUUUUGUAUUGAUUUUAGCGCAGAAACCCAGACUAGGCAUUGAUUAUGGUUUCGUUCAUAUGUAAUGUAAUUUUUUUGGUAAGUAGAAGGUACCUAAGUAGUUAGAAGAUUUAAUUAUACGUUAUCGUCCGAGUAAAUCAGUAAUAUUUA
Cydia splendana is the source of this 1456-nucleotide long non-coding RNA. RefSeq lists it as uncharacterized. The transcript is spliced from 3 exons. Lineage: Eukaryota; Metazoa; Arthropoda; Insecta; Lepidoptera; Tortricidae. The record is from RefSeq and is a predicted model, not a curated record.